CAGUAGCCGCGGGAAUACGGAGGGAGCUAGCGUUGUUCGGAAUUACUGGGCGUAAAGCGCGCGUAAGCGGUUACUCAAGUCAGAGGUGAAAGCCCGGGGCUCAACCCCGGAACUGCCUUUGAAACUAGGUGACUAGAAUCUUGGAGAGGUCGGUGGAAUUCCGAGUGUAGAGGUGAAAUUCGUAGAUAUUCGGAAGAACACCAGUGGCGAAGGCGACUGACUGGACAAGUAUUGACGCUGAGGUGCGAAAGCGUGGGGAGCAAACAGGAUUAGAUACCCCAGUAGUCCCUGUCUCUUAUAA
This 301-nucleotide ribosomal RNA is filed under the name uncultured bacterium. RNAcentral describes it as "partial 16S ribosomal RNA". It matches the Rfam family "Bacterial small subunit ribosomal RNA", at positions 509 to 809 of the family's 1533-position model. The record is from RNAcentral.